This 776-nucleotide ribosomal RNA is filed under the name uncultured Neocallimastigales. RNAcentral describes it as "partial large subunit ribosomal RNA". It matches the Rfam family "Eukaryotic large subunit ribosomal RNA", at positions 24 to 641 of the family's 3401-position model. The record is from RNAcentral. Lineage: Eukaryota; Fungi; Neocallimastigomycota; Neocallimastigomycetes; Neocallimastigales.
UAUGUGAUCGUCUCUCGCAUAUCAAUAAGCGGAGGAAAAGAAACUAACAAGGAUUCCCCUAGUAACGGCGAGUGAAGCGGGAAGAGCUCAAAUUUGAGAUCUUAAAGGGUUUCCCUUUACGAAUUGUAGUUUAAAGAAGUGUUUUCUGUUGAGGUUUUGGUAAAAGUUCUUUGGAAUAGGACAUCAUAGAGGGUGAGAAUCCCGUAUUUGACCUUUACUUUCAACUUUGUGAUACACUUUCAAAGAGUCGGAUUGUUUGGGAAUGCAGUCCAAAAUGGGUGGUAAAUUUCAUCUAAAGCUAAAUAUUGGCGAGAGACCGAUAGCGAACAAGUACCGUGAGGGAAAGAUGAAAAGAACUUUGAAAAGAGAGUUAAACAGUACGUGAAAUUGUCAAAAGGGAAGCGUUUGACACCAGUGUUGUUUUUCUGAAAAUCAAUUAAAGAACUGUUUAUGCUAAGCUUGUUUAGACUUUAUCAGCUAUCUGCUUUAGUUUUGAGCUUUUCUUUAAUGCACUUUUCAGUUAACAAGUCAACAUCAAUUUCUUUUGCUGUAAAAAAGCUUGAGGAAGGUGGCUUGAGAUUCGUCUUAAGUGUUUAUAGCCUCUUGCCUAUGCAGUCGGAGAGAUUGAGGUCUGCAGCGUAGAUCCUUCGGGGCUAAAUGCAUUUGUGCUAAGUUAUAGCAUUUUAUAGACAACUUGUUGACUAUGAUUUGUCUUGUAGCUUACUCGCUUAUGUUAUUUUACCUACGCUUAGGAUGUUGAACGCGCACAGAGUCUC